CACCUUAUAUUCAUAUAUGAUAUUAGACUGCAAUUCUAAAGGAGUAAAUAACAUAGUUUACUAAGGUUU
Molecule: transfer RNA, 69 nt
Filed under: Rhomboptera ligata
Lineage: Eukaryota; Metazoa; Arthropoda; Insecta; Orthoptera; Tettigoniidae
Description: tRNA-Cys
Source: RNAcentral